GGUUCCAUGGAGUAGUGGUUAGCACUUCUGCUUUGCACGCAGAAAGUUCUGGAUUCGAACCCCAGUGGAGCGU
Molecule: transfer RNA, 73 nt
Filed under: Pteropus alecto (black flying fox)
Lineage: Eukaryota; Metazoa; Chordata; Mammalia; Chiroptera; Pteropodidae
Also listed under: 1 other name
Rfam family: tRNA
About the family: Transfer RNA (tRNA) molecules are approximately 80 nucleotides in length. Their secondary structure includes four short double-helical elements and three loops (D, anti-codon, and T loops). Further hydrogen bonds mediate the characteristic L-shaped molecular structure. tRNAs have two regions of fundamental functional importance: the anti-codon, which is responsible for specific mRNA codon recognition, and the 3' end, to which the tRNAs corresponding amino acid is attached (by aminoacyl-tRNA synthetases). tRNAs cope with the degeneracy of the genetic code in two manners: having more than one tRNA (with a specific anti-codon) for a particular amino acid; and 'wobble' base-pairing, i.e. permitting non-standard base-pairing at the 3rd anti-codon position.
Source: Rfam by way of RNAcentral